RNAcentral lists this long non-coding RNA (571 nucleotides) under Homo sapiens (human). RNAcentral's name for it is "HSALNT0120208". Lineage: Eukaryota; Metazoa; Chordata; Mammalia; Primates; Hominidae. The record is from RNAcentral.
GGAAACUAUGGUCCAGGAGGCAGUGGAGGAAGUGGGGGUUAUGGUGGGAGGAGCCGAUACUGAGCUUCUUCCUAUUUGCCAUGGGCUUCACUGUAUAAAUAGGAGAGGAUGAGAGCCCAGAGGUAACAGAACAGCUUCAGGUUAUCGAAAUAACAAUGUUAAGGAAACUCUUAUCUCAGUCAUGCAUAAAUAUGCAGUGAUAUGGCAGAAGACACCAGAGCAGAUGCAGAGAGCCAUUUUGUGAAUGGAUUGGAUUAUUUAAUAACAUUACCUUACUGUGGAGGAAGGAUUGUAAAAAAAAAUGCCUUUGAGACAGUUUCUUAGCUUUUUAAUUGUUGUUUCUUUCUAGUGGUCUUUGUAAGAGUGUAGAAGCAUUCCUUCUUUGAUAAUGUUAAAUUUGUAAGUUUCAGGUGACAUGUGAAACCUUUUUUAAGAUUUUUCUCAAAGUUUUGAAAAGCUAUUAGCCAGGAUCAUGGUGUAAUAAGACAUAACGUUUUUCCUUUAAAAAAAUUUAAGUGCGUGUGUAGAGUUAAGAAGCUGUUGUACAUUUAUGAUUUAAUAAAAUAAUUCU